This 30-nucleotide small RNA is filed under the name Bombyx mori (domestic silkworm). RNAcentral describes it as "ovarian small RNA-10321". The record is from RNAcentral. Lineage: Eukaryota; Metazoa; Arthropoda; Insecta; Lepidoptera; Bombycidae.
AACCGAUGGUCCGAGAGCGUCUCCGCUCCC